This 1618-nucleotide small RNA is filed under the name Arabidopsis thaliana (thale cress). RNAcentral describes it as "ATSL108670". The stretch from base 1509 to 1618 matches the Rfam family "MIR405 microRNA precursor family". The record is from RNAcentral. Lineage: Eukaryota; Viridiplantae; Streptophyta; Magnoliopsida; Brassicales; Brassicaceae.
UUUUGACUGAUAAUUUUUUUGUAUAAUUACGUUAGAAAAUGUCAUUCCGCUAUUAUUAUGCAUAUUACCAAUAAAAUCAACUGUGUAACAACUAGGGGUGUCAAAAUGGGUCAAAAUUCAUGGGUCAACUCAACUCAACUCAACCCAUGAACCCUAAUGGGUUGAAAUUUUUGACUCAAAUGAGUUGAUGGGUCAAAUGAGUUGAUGAGUCAAUUGGUUUGAUGAGUAAAAUGAGUUGGGUUGUAAUGGGUUAAUGGUUUUAGUGGUUUACCCAAUUAACCCAUCAAAUUUUGUAAAAUUGAAUUAAACCAACUAAAAUUUCUAAACCAAUAUUUAACCAACACAUCUAAACCAAUUUAAUAAAAUCAUCCCCAAAUUUACAAAAUCAAUCGUUUCUCGACCUCCACUUCGACCUAUACUCUCCACCGGUCUCAUCCACAUCGGAGACUGACAAGACGACGAAGACUGCUUCAAUUGAAGACGACGAUGAUGAUGUGCUUGUAGUGGGUCAAAAGGGUGAGGUAUGUUUCCACUGGACCCUUCUCAUUUCUAACUACUUUUUCGUUUUCUUCAUUCGAAUUGGCGUGAAAGUUCAGAUUCUGUAUGCGUUAGUGUUGUUUAGCUCUUAAUCAUGUUCAGGAUCUAACUUAAGUGAUGGUAGAAGCGUAUUCAAUGUUGCUCUAGAGUUCUGAAGCUUGUUUAUAUGGUUAAUUUUCACUUUAUUUGAAUGGCUCUACCUUUAAUAGACUAGUCUUCUUCUAGUUUGUGGUACUUGAGCGAUGAAGUUUGAGUUCUGGGAUUAGUUACUUCUGAUAGUUUUGAUGUGAUUGCCAAAUUGUUAUGUGUUUGUUUCGGUAAAGGGUUUAAGCUGAAAGAAGAUAUAUGCUUGCCGUAUUGUCAUAUCCUUCUCUUUGUUUUGAUGUGAGCUAACAAAAAUCGUAUUUAGUCAUAUGCUUGUCGUAUUGUCCAAAACAGUCUUCUUUUCUCUUUGUUUUAUUGAUUCUUUGACUGUGUCUAUGUGAUUAAUUCUUGUAUUUGGCUAAUAACAGGUUUUAUUAAGCAAUCUCUAACUUGGCCUUAUUUCUAUGUAUAGUUAUUUGCAGCUGAUCUUUUACAAAAAAUGGACAAUGAAGACGAAUGUACUUAUGGUGGUGAAGGUGGGCAAACAUCAGCAGAUACAUCACAAUCUAAAAGUUUAGUAAGUGCUUCUCGUUUUAAAAGAAGUAGAACAUCAGAUAUGUGGGAUUACUUUACACUAGAAGAUGAGAAUAACCUCGUGAUUUUCCCGCCAAAAAAACGUAACCUCGUGAUUUUCCCGCCAAAAAAACAUGACCCCGUGAUUUUCCCGUCACAAAACGUAACCUCGUAAUUUUACCGUCUAAAAAUGUAAACUCGUAAAAAUUUCUGAAUCAAUAAAUAUCUCAAAUUUAAUAAUAAUGAAUUAAUGAUGAUGAUAAUUAUUUAUUAUUGUUUUAUAAUAAUAAUUAAUUAAAUUAUUAUUUAAAUGGUUAACCCAUUUAACAACUCAACCCAUCAAAUGAAAUGAGUUAUGGGUUAGACCCAACUCAUUUAACAAAAUGAGUUGGGUCAACCCAUAACUCAUUUAAUCAUAAACUCA